Molecule: unclassified non-coding RNA, 352 nt
Filed under: soil metagenome
Description: partial contains 5.8S ribosomal RNA, internal transcribed spacer 2, and large subunit ribosomal RNA
Rfam family: 5.8S ribosomal RNA (bases 1-120)
Source: RNAcentral
GAUGAAGAACGCAGCGAAAUGCGAUAAGUAAUGUGGAUUGCAGAAUUCAGUGAAUCAUCGAAUCUUUGAACGCACAUUGCGCCCGCCAGUAUUCUGGCGGGCAUGCCUGUUCGAGCGUCAUUACAACCCUCAGGCCCCCGGGCCUGGCGUUGGGGAUCGGCGGAGCCCCCCGUGGGCACACGCCGUCCCCCAAAUACAGUGGCGGUCCCGCCGCAGCUUCCAUCGCGUAGUAGCUAACACCUCGCGACUGGAGAGCGGCGCGGCCACGCCGUAAAACACCCAACUCUUCUGAAGUUGACCUCGAAUCAGGUAGGAAUACCCGCUGAACUUAAGCAUAUCAAUAAGCGGAGGA